GAAUAAAUUAAUAUGUCCUAGGAAUUGGAACGAAACAGAGAAGAUUAGCCCCUGCGCAAGGAUGACACGCAAAAUCGUGAAGCGUUCCACAUUUUU
Molecule: small nuclear RNA, 96 nt
Filed under: Rhodnius prolixus
Lineage: Eukaryota; Metazoa; Arthropoda; Insecta; Hemiptera; Reduviidae
Source: RNAcentral